RNAcentral lists this ribosomal RNA (497 nucleotides) under uncultured bacterium. RNAcentral describes it as "partial 16S ribosomal RNA". It matches the Rfam family "Bacterial small subunit ribosomal RNA", at positions 28 to 507 of the family's 1533-position model. The record is from RNAcentral.
GAUGAACGCUGGCGGCGUGCCUAAUACAUGCCAGUCGAGCGAACAGACGAGGAGCUUGCUCCUCUGACGUUAGCGGCGGACGGGUGAGUAACACGUGGAUAACCUACCUAUAAGACUGGGAUAACUUCGGGAAACCGGAGCUAAUACCGGAUAAUAUAUUGAACCGCAUGGUUCAAUAGUGAAAGACGGUUUUGCUGUCACUUAUCGAUGGAUCCGCGCCGCAUUAGCUAGUUGGUACGGUAACGGGUUACCAAGGCAACGAUGCGUAGCCGACCUGAGGGAGUGAUCGGCCACACUGGAACUGAGACACGGUCCAGACUCCUACGGGAGGCAGCAGUAGGGAAUCUUCCGCAAUGGGCGAAAGCUUGACGGAGCAACGCCGCGUGAGUGAUGAAGGUCUUCGGAUCGUAAAACUCUGUUAUUAGGGAAGAACAAAUGUGUAAGUAACUAUGCACGUCUUGACGGUACCUAAUCAGAAAGCCACGGCUAACUACGUG